GGAGUCGUGAGGCCUCUGGGAAAAAGCUCGGGAGAGCGUUGGCUCAUUGAGACUCUGCUGGCCAGCAGCCACCUUUACUGUUGAAAAUCUGCAGUCGUUGGCAAAAGGUCUGUCCUGCAGUCCAUUGAGUUCCUGCCAGUGGAAGACUUAAGGAAAGUACUGCUUCUCCUAAUGGUUGUUGCUACUGCAAGCAGACACGCUGUACCGUCUAGGGCCUGGGUGAAUGGUAAAUAGCCUGAAAGCUUCACUGACACCUCACAUAUGAUAACCUAAUAACACAUCUUUGUUUUUCUCAUAGGUAUUUAAUCUCUGAUACAACAGCGAAGAUACUGCAGUGGUGUCAGCCUAUCUCAGGGCCAAAUUUUAUAUAUAUAUAUAUAUAUUUAUUUAUUUAUUUAUUUUCAGCUCAAGACUGAACAUAAUAAAUUCACUGCAGAGGAGCGUGCUCAUUUAACUGUGUAAAAUACAGACCUUAACAAUUCAUAUUAAGUGAUUCAGUACUUGCAUCUCUGAGGUAGCAAUUUGCUAAUAAAUUUUGCAUACAAAAUAUGGAUCACCCAUUCAUUAUAUUUCAUCCAUUAUUCUAACUACCGUUAUCACUGUAUGGUUUUGUAACUGCUGAUAAAUGCACGAAGGGCACGUUAACAAAUUAAACUGCUUUGCAAUUAAGGUUGGGGCAAGCUGUCUAAUUUGUUGUACUCCAGCUGGGACAAAUCUGUUUAUGUCACUGCUCUUGUGUCAUGUCACCCAAACAUGCCUUCACUGAUACAUAAGGUUGUCAUCUAACAGCUGACACUUAGCUGCAGUUCUUGCUGCUGGCCACUGCUGGACACUUUUAUCUCACUCAUAGUUGUAAUUACUAUGACAAGUGCAGGUUGUUUUGCAGUGACAGCGUUGGUUUUUUUUUCGUGACAGUGUUUAUUAUAUCUGUAAUAUGGCCAAGUCUGGGUCAGGUCCAUAGCAUUGGAAAUGAAAGCCAUUGGUAACCCUGGAGAUAUUAAUUUCAGCAAAAUAAGGUUAAGAAUUUGUAAUGAAAUAAAAUAGGAGGGAGGUAAGGUAAUAGGCAGAGUUAAAAGCACCAGUUCAGACAACAAUGUUUUUGAUGGAACGACUUCUAUGGGCAAAAAAAAGAAAAAGAGAGAAAGAAUAUGAUUACCAGGGAAUUGGAUGCAAGCAUCUGAAAGCUUGUAAAAGACAUACAACUGUUAAAGCCAAAGCAAAUGCUUUUGAUUCUAUCUCAACACAUUCCCUCCCCAAAUUACAUGUUAAAGCUUUCCUAAGAUGCAGCCAUGCGAUUUUUGUGAAUAAACAAUAUGAUAUUAAAAUACAGAGGUUUUUCCUAGAGAUGAAGUAUUUUAAGUCCUGUACCCUUCUAAUUUUACUUCCUUGGCAUCUUCCUUAUUAAGAAACAGAAGUAAUGAAGGCUGUGAGAGUUAAGAGUUUUCAGUUCCAAACACGGUCUCAAGACUGUCGUCAGCCUGUUCUACCAAAAUUGAUGUGCUGGAACUUCAAAAAGGAAGUCUACCUUUCCCCUCAACCCCUUCCAAACAGAGUGGCUAAGGCUCCUUUUCUAACAUGAGCAUUUCAGUGAAUGUUUACAUAUAUUUAGAAAAGUGAAAACUGAAGUGGACUGUUCAGUUUUGUGUUUUUGGAUUACAGGGUAGUAUUUCUCAAUAUUUUGAUAAUAUGCCAGCAUCACAUAAGAUGGAAAAAGUGCCCAUGGAACCAAAAUAAAAACCCGAUCAUUUGUUCAAAGGGGAAACUACACGAGGCUCCCCAGCUCACUCUUACUAAGACAGUGUUCUAGUUAGAAGAAAAUAGAAGGCUGUUUUUGGUGAUGUUAUUUUCAGCUGAAUUGUGUGUUGCCCUUGAUGAUGAAGUUUUGCUGAAAGAAAAAAAAAAGCAGUAACUUAAAAAAAA
Molecule: long non-coding RNA, 1920 nt
Organism: Gallus gallus (chicken)
Lineage: Eukaryota; Metazoa; Chordata; Aves; Galliformes; Phasianidae
Source: Ensembl